AGGGCUUCUCUGUGAAGUUGCAUACUCAAUUCCAAUUACUAUCUUAAAACAAGUGGGAAGACAAGAAGACAAGUGUCCACAGCAGAACACCAAAACCACGGCUUAGCACAGAGAAACCCUGCAGGGAGCAAAUUAGUCUCAUUUUGGAAAAGACAGAACAUGCACAAAGGACCCCCCUGAAAGGUUUCCAGUGCUCUGUUCCCGGAUGCGUUGCAGUCAGUGUAAUUACCUGAUGUGGAAAAAGAGGCAUGGACGUGGCCCUGUGAAAGGACCAUCUCUUUUCAGCAUGGGGCAGGAGCCAAACUGUACCCUGGAACACCUACAGAUAUCAUUGGUUUGACCUGGACAAGAACUCAGAGGCGGGUGAACUCACUUCACCUGAGUUCUUGGGAACAGACCCCUUCUCUGUGAAUCUGAAACUCAAGGGCACAAGGGAAAAACGCCAGCAUGGAUGUUUUCUCAGGCUGCCUGCUGUGUGCUGUGGUGAUGUUUCUGCAGAAAGCAGAGUGUGCAGACAGAACCCAAGGUGGUCUUCUGUUUCCUGAACAUCUCAGAGAGUCCCUGUGGCAUGACACACAGGUGGAAAUGGGCACAUUGAAGAUACUCUAUUCAUUAGCAAAAAUCUUGAAUCCUGGAAGAGCUCUCAGAAUCUCACACAGAGUGUGAGAACCACC
RNAcentral lists this long non-coding RNA (674 nucleotides) under Cricetulus griseus (Chinese hamster). Its description in RNAcentral is "lncRNA (ENSCGRG00015030949.1)". The record is from RNAcentral. Lineage: Eukaryota; Metazoa; Chordata; Mammalia; Rodentia; Cricetidae.